RNAcentral lists this ribosomal RNA (392 nucleotides) under uncultured eukaryote. Its description in RNAcentral is "SSU rRNA". It matches the Rfam family "Eukaryotic small subunit ribosomal RNA", at positions 567 to 972 of the family's 1831-position model. The record is from RNAcentral.
CCAGCAGCUGCGGUAAUUCCAGCUCCAAUAGCGUAUAUUAAAGUUGUUGCAGUUAAAAAGCUCGUAGUUGGAUUUCUGGCGAGGGGCAAUUGCGGCCGGCAUGGCAUGCAUGCGCCCCCUGCCAUCCUUCUGUUAACCCGGUAUGGCGUUUUUUCGCUGACCGGUGGCUCAGAUAUUUUACCUUGAGAAAAUUAGAGUGUUUCAGGCAGGCUAGGCCGGAAUACAUUAGCAUGGAAUAAUGGAAUAGGACUACGGUCUCUUUGUUGGUUUGAGGGACUGCAGUAAUGAUUAAUAGGGAUAGUUGGGGGCAUUAGUAUUUAAUUGUCAGAGGUGAAAUUCUCGGAUUUGUUAAAGACUAACUUAUGCGAAAGCAUUUGCCAAGGAUGUUUUCA